Molecule: long non-coding RNA, 510 nt
Organism: Nothobranchius furzeri (turquoise killifish)
Lineage: Eukaryota; Metazoa; Chordata; Actinopteri; Cyprinodontiformes; Nothobranchiidae
Source: RefSeq, a predicted model, not a curated record
UGGGCGUGUCUGAGAGCUACCAGCUGCAGCUGAUCCCGCCAUCAAGGCCCUGGGAUUUAAGGAGCAGUGUGACACUUCACCACGCCAGAUGAUUACUCUGUUUGGGUACGUCUAGCCUCUAACCUGUAUCUCUUUCUAGAUAACCUGCCGCCUGAAAAAUCCCUGAUAGCUCUUCCCUGCUCUCCUUCAGGUUUCGCUCCACAUUCCACCAUCUCCAUAACCAACCCGGACUUCUGCACUCCAGACCACACUGCCUCCUCCUCUGGCCGCCCGCUCUCAGCCGCUCACCUGCCCUCAUUAACCUCCGCUCCUACAUCACCUCUGGAUAAAACAGUUUUUCGCCUUCUGGAUCUCCUCUGCUCACCCGGACCUGACCAAGCCCUCCCUGUGCAUUCUACCGCUACCUGAAAACUAACCUCCUCCUGGAAUCCAGCUACAUGUGCAGAGCAUCUUCUGUUCCCGUCACUCCUUUUAGUUCCUCAUUUGAAAUUAAACAAACCUUUUUACACA